Molecule: long non-coding RNA, 241 nt
Filed under: Elaeis guineensis (African oil palm)
Lineage: Eukaryota; Viridiplantae; Streptophyta; Magnoliopsida; Arecales; Arecaceae
Description: long non-coding RNA (EGUI_LNC059028)
Source: RNAcentral
CCCAUAGGUUCCAUUCUAUCUGGUAGUGAGAUAUAUUGUGAUCUUUAUCACAAUAUCAUCGAAACUCUUUUCGAUAGAUCAGAAUAUUUUUAAUUCUACCCUUCGAGGACCAUCGAUCAUCAAGAUGACACCCGAUGAGUCUCAUAAUCCACCAGUGACACCUAGCAGUAUAUAGUGACAACCCAGUAUGAUGAAAGUAUGAAUCUUUAGGUGCAGUUAUCAUAUAAUUUAGUCCUUCUAU